AGCGAUUAGCUAAUUAGUGUUCUAGUACCACAAAAAAAAUGAAACAGUCUCGAUAUUAAUCGAAUAAAAUUCUGGGUAAACUUAUGAUAAUGACAUUGUUUACUCAUUAGUCUUGACCAAGUUACGUGCCAGCAGUCGCGGUAAUACGUAGAAGACUAGUGUUAUUCAUCUUUAAUGGGUUUAAAGGGUACCUAGACGGCAAAUUAAGCCUUAAAUUGAUAAAUCUUAAUUUAAGAUUUAACUGGAACUGAUUUGCUAGAGUUACUUAUGAGGAAGUUUUAAAGUACUAGAGGUGUAGAGAUAAAAUUUUAUUAUACCUUUUUUCUAACGAAAAACUUCGGCACAGGUAUAGGUGAAAACAUCUUCUUAUGGGAUAACUGACGUUGAGGGACGAAGGCUUUUUAUAAUGAACAGGAUUAGAUACCCUGGUAGUCAAAGCAGAAAACGCUGAGUGUCAUAGAUUAGAUAAGAAUUUAUUCUAUAAAUGAAAGUGUAAGCACUCCACCUCAAGAGUAAUUUGGCAACAUUGGAACUGAAAUCAUUAGACCGUAUCUGAAACCAGUAGUGAAGUAUGUUAUUUAAUUUGAUAAUCCGCAAAAAACCUUACCACAACUUGAAUGUUUAUGUACUUACUUUUAAAAUAUGUUUAUGUGCAGUUUUGUGUAUAACCCAGCCUGCAUUUCACGCAAUAUUGUGAAAAGGUAAUAAUAUAUAAAUACAAGUGUUGCACGGCUGUCUUCAGUUAAUGUCGUCAGACUAUGGUUAGCUCCAGUAAAUUAACGUAAACCCUUGCUUUAUUUUUAAAUAGAGUAGUUCUCCGCCAUAUUGGAUAAGAUAACAGGGAACAAGACAAGUCAUCAUGGCCUUAAUGUUGUG
RNAcentral lists this ribosomal RNA (876 nucleotides) under Micarea hedlundii. RNAcentral's name for it is "SSU rRNA". It matches the Rfam family "Bacterial small subunit ribosomal RNA", at positions 404 to 1211 of the family's 1533-position model. The record is from RNAcentral. Lineage: Eukaryota; Fungi; Ascomycota; Lecanoromycetes; Lecanorales; Micareaceae.